AGUCUGGUGCCAGCACCCGCGGUAAUUCCAGCUCCAAGAGCGUAUAUUAAUACUGCUGUAGUUAAAACGCCCGUAGUAUACCUAAGAGUGGGCAUGUAGUAAUUAGUUUUGUCAGAGGAUGAUUGACGAGAGUUUAUCACUCUUGUUCGUCUACCUUUGAUAGACUUUAGUCGGGCUGGAUCUUCGGUCCACGUCUGACAGUUGCUGCGUGUUUACUUACCACGGUUUAUCCGUGAGGCCCUUGGCUUGCAACUGUAAAUAAAUCGUUGUGCUUAAAGCGGGCUAUGAUACUCUGCCAGAGCGAUUUAGCAUGGGACUGCAGAGUAGCUGUAUUUGAGUGAAGGUUGUAUUUCGGUAUGACUGGAUCUUGGUACAGCGCUUGUAAUGGAGCUCAGGGUGAGGCCCCGGGUACCAUGAGGCUAGAGGUGAAAUUCUGAGACCCUCAUGUGACCAACUAAGGCGAAAGCUGUCGUGGGCCACCACAAGCUCGUCUAUCAGGGACGAAAGUUGGGGGAUCGAAGACGAUUAGAUACCGUCGUAGUCCCAACUAUAAACGAUACCAACCGAGUAUUUGGGAAGACACUAUCCCAGCGAUCUUCUCAGAACUCAAGGGAAACCUUAAGUCUUUGGGUUCUGGGGGGAGUAUAGUCGCAAGACCGAAACUUAAAGGAAUUGACGGAAAGGCACCACCAGGAGUGGAGUCUGCGGCUUAAUUCGACCCAACACGGGGAAACUCACCAGGUCAGGACACAAGUUUGAUUGACAGGUUAAUAGCCCUUUCUUGAUUGUGUGGUGGGUAGUGCAUGGCCGUUUCCAGUUCGUGGAGUGAUCUGUCUUGUUAAUUCAGAUAACGAACGAGACCUAAGCCUUUAACUAGCCGUAGGCCUUUUCCUUCGGGGAAAGGUUUAGUUUGUCGGGACAGGUUCUGCCUGUUCCUAAACCUACGAGACUUUUGUCAGCUUCUUAAAGGGACUUCAUUCGUAAACUAGGAUGAGGAAGAUUUAGGCCAUAACAGGUCUGUGAUGCUCUUAGAUGUCCUGGGCUGCACGCGUACUACAAUAACGGUACCAGCGAGCGCUAUGGUUUUAUAACCCCUUAUCCUAAUAGGAUUGGGAAAACUUUUCAAACACCGUUAUGACAGGGAUCGAGGAUUGGAACAUCCUCGUGAACGAGGAAUUCCUAGUAAGCGUGGUUCAUCAUACCACAUUGAUUACGUCCCUGCCUUUUGUACACACCGCCCGUCGCUCCUACCGAUGGGACGAAGAGAUGAACCUGGCGGACCGAACCGCAAGGUAAGGGAAACCAGUUAAAUCUCUUCGUCUGUAGGAAGGAAAAGUCGUAA
RNAcentral lists this ribosomal RNA (1342 nucleotides) under metagenome. RNAcentral describes it as "SSU rRNA". It matches the Rfam family "Eukaryotic small subunit ribosomal RNA", at positions 558 to 1794 of the family's 1831-position model. The record is from RNAcentral.